This 1683-nucleotide long non-coding RNA is filed under the name Homo sapiens (human). RNAcentral's name for it is "HSALNT0314265". Lineage: Eukaryota; Metazoa; Chordata; Mammalia; Primates; Hominidae. The record is from RNAcentral.
AGAGCGAGACCCUGUCUCCAAAAAAAAAAAAAAAAGAAAGAAAGAAAGAAAAAGAAAAAAUUAUCUUCUUAUCCCGCUCUUCUCAGGCAUUAAUGAGCUUAUCUGGUAUACUGAAGGAUUUAGCUUAACCCACAAUAUAUGCCUGAGUAGAUUCUUUGGCAGUAUUACCUUGUGUGAUGUGUCAAUUCCUUGGCAAUGAUUCACGCACGCGUGCACACACACACGCACACAGAGCAAGCACAGCAAUACGCAUUUGUGUCAUCUGUUGGGGACCAAGGUUCACAAAUAGCAAAACACACAGCAUCAUCCGGGGCUGGAGCAAGUGAGCAGCCUGGGAGGAGAGGGGUCACAUGAGCAGCUUGGCUCAGCUGACCCUGGAGCCAGUUCCCUCAGGUUUCCCAGAGCACAGCCUGGCUGAGACUGAAGGCGGCUUAUCCAUCUUGAAUUCUGAGGAAACAGAGACCCAGGGCGUAGGUUUCUGCAAGAGUCACAGGCUCGUGGGAACAAAGUCAAAGUCACUGGGAGAAAACCGGGCUGACUGUGGGACUGGAACUGGAGAGCAUUUCUGGAUUCAGUCCUCUAAAAGGUGCCUCUUGCAUGGUGGCCUGACAUGUCAACGUGCCCAGGAGUCUGUGACAGGCAGCCAGGUGCCUCAAUCCCACUGCCUGGGGGGCCAGGGCUGGGCUGGGACUCACCAUAUUCUGGAAGUCGCACAAACUCCGAGGGCUCGCUGGGAAGGCUGAUUCCCCAGGGGUUACUGGCACUGACUCUGAACUGAUAAGGACACCCGGGACUAAGGUCUUCGAUGACGAGGCCUCAGCCUCCCACUCUGUAAAAUGGGAUUGAUCAUCCCUGUCUGGGUGAUCGAGCAUGUUAAGUAGGGAUACAUGCAUGAAGACACCUUGAAACCUGCCCUGGGUCAUAAAUAUGUCAGGGAGGUUUGGAUCAUCUUAGCCAAAACAGCUGCUCGACAUCUGGGAUCAGAAGGCAGCUGUAAUCUGGCACUGAGGCCUCUGUGCUGAGUUGGAAGACACAACAAGGAACAACUUCUGAAAGAUGAGGAGGCUAAUAUGUUCACAAUUCUGAAGGACCUCCUAGAGACGAAGAGAAGACAGAAAAACAAGAGCAGGAGGCCGGGCGCGGUGGCUUACGCCUGUAAUCCCAGCACUUCCGGAGGCUGAGGCAAGUGGACUGUUUGCGCUCAGGAGUUUCACAGCAGCCAGCAGCCUGGGCAGCAUAGUGAGACCCUGUCUCUACUAAAAAUACAAAAAUUAGCCGGGUGUGGUGGUGUGCGCUUUAGUCCCAGCUACUCAGGAGGCUGAGGUGGGAGGUUGGCUUGAGCCCAGGAGGUGGAGGCUGCAGUGAGCCCACAUUGCACCACUGCACUCCAGCCUGGGUUGAUGGAGCCAAACCCUGUCUCAAAAAAAAUAAACAAUAAAAAUAAAGGAAAAUAAAAGUGGCUCAUGCCUGUAAUCCCAGCACUUUGGGAGGCCAAGGUGGGAGGAUCACGUUAGCCCUGGCGUUUGAGACCAGCCUGGGCAAUAUAGCAAUAGCCUGUCUCUAUUCAAAUUUUUGAAAAAAUGGUUAGCAUGGUAAAUUUUAUUAUGUGUGUUUUACUGCAAUUUUAAAAAUAAAUGUUUUAAAAGAAGAGAAAAGAAAAAGAAGAGCAGGAGAUAGUGCACC